GUGCUCGCUUCGGCAACACAUGUACUACUAGUAAAUUGGAAUGAUACAGAGAAGAUUAGCAAGGAUGACACGCAAAUUCGUGAAGCGUUUCUUCCAUAGUUUU
Molecule: small nuclear RNA, 103 nt
Organism: Myotis lucifugus (little brown bat)
Lineage: Eukaryota; Metazoa; Chordata; Mammalia; Chiroptera; Vespertilionidae
Source: Ensembl